This 736-nucleotide ribosomal RNA is filed under the name Elsinoe leucospermi. Its description in RNAcentral is "eukaryotic LSU rRNA". It matches the Rfam family "Eukaryotic large subunit ribosomal RNA", at positions 133 to 891 of the family's 3401-position model. The record is from RNAcentral. Lineage: Eukaryota; Fungi; Ascomycota; Dothideomycetes; Myriangiales; Elsinoaceae.
GGCGCCCGAGUUGUAAUUUGUAGAGGAUGCUAUUGGGUUGCCACCGGUCUAAGUUCCUUGGAACAGGACGUCACAGAGGGUGAGAAUCCCGUAUGUGACCGGCCAGGCGCCUUCUGUAUAGCUCCUUCGACGAGUCGGGUUGUUUGGGAAUGCAGCCCUAAAUGGGAGGUAAAUUUCUUCUAAAGCUAAAUACCGGCCAGAGACCGAUAGCGCACAAGUAGAGUGAUCGAAAGAUGAAAAGCACUUUGGAAAGAGAGUUAAAAAGCACGUGAAAUUGUUGAAAGGGAAGCGCUUGCAAUCAGUCUCGACGGCGGCUGUUCGGCCCCUCUUCUGAGUGGUUUAUUCAGUCGCCGCCGGGCCAGCAUCAGUUUUGGCGGUCGGAUAAAGGCGCGGGGAAUGUAGCUCCUCCGGGAGUGUUAUAGCCCCGCGUGCAAUACGGCCCGCCGGGACUGAGGUCCGCGCUUCGGCUAGGAUGCUGGCGAAAUGGUUGUAAGCGGCCCGUCUUGAAACACGGACCAAGGAGUCUAACAUCUACGCGAGUGUUUGGGUGUCAAACCCGUGCGCGCAAUGAAAGUGAACGGAGGUGGGAACCGCAAGGUGCACCAUCGACCGAUCCUGAUGUCUUCGGAUGGAUUUGAGUAAGAGCGUAGCUGUUGGGACCCGAAAGAUGGUGAACUAUGCCUGAAUAGGGUGAAGCCAGAGGAAACUCUGGUGGAGGCUCGCAGCGGUUCUGACG